This 171-nucleotide ribosomal RNA is filed under the name uncultured Acinetobacter sp. RNAcentral describes it as "partial 16S ribosomal RNA". It matches the Rfam family "Bacterial small subunit ribosomal RNA", at positions 359 to 525 of the family's 1533-position model. The record is from RNAcentral. Lineage: Bacteria; Pseudomonadati; Pseudomonadota; Gammaproteobacteria; Moraxellales; Moraxellaceae.
UUGGCCAGUUAGGGCGUAAGCCUGAUCAGCCAUGCCGCGUGUGUGAAGAAGGCCUUAUGGUUGUAAAGCACUUUAAGCGAGGAGGAGGCUACUUUAGUUAAUACCUAGAGAUAGUGGACGUUACUCGCAGAAUAAGCACCGGCUAACUCUGUGCCAGCAGCCGCGGUAAAA